This 408-nucleotide ribosomal RNA is filed under the name Triticum aestivum (bread wheat). RNAcentral's name for it is "partial small subunit ribosomal RNA". The record is from RNAcentral. Lineage: Eukaryota; Viridiplantae; Streptophyta; Magnoliopsida; Poales; Poaceae.
AUGAGGAUUUCGAGGCCGUACUCGGGGGUGUCCAGAAGCGGGGCGACGGCGAGGACGGGGCCGCACGCACUGCCGCUGGCGCGGAUCAAGAAGAUCAUGAAGCGGUCGGCGGGGGACGGCAGCGGCGGCGACGGCGCCGGGGCCAGGAUGAUCUCGGGCGAGGCGCCCGUGGUGUUCUCCAGGGCGUGCGAGCUGUUCGUCGCCGAGCUGACGCAAGCCGCCUGGGCCGCCACGCUCGAGGGCCGGCGCCGGACCGUGCACGCCGAGGACGUCGCCGCCGCCGUCAGGGACACCGACCUCUUCGACUUCCUCGUCGACGUCGUCAAGCCCAGGCCAGGUGACGAUAGCGUCGGUGACGGAGUCGGCCUCGCGCCGGCCGCCGGUGCCCACGGCGGCGCGCUCGACUAG